RNAcentral lists this long non-coding RNA (260 nucleotides) under Lathyrus oleraceus (garden pea). Its description in RNAcentral is "Pisum sativum (pea) long non-coding RNA (PSAT_LNC012143)". Lineage: Eukaryota; Viridiplantae; Streptophyta; Magnoliopsida; Fabales; Fabaceae. The record is from RNAcentral.
GGUCCUUUUCUCAGAACUCGAGACUUGACCUUCUUGUCGAAUUCUUUCAUCACUCUCUGCUGAUAUAACUGACCAUGACACAUGGCGGUUGAUCUCUUCUUCUUGAUCGAAUUCAGCAUCAGUCAACUUGGGACUUUGAGGGUGCUAUUUCUCUUUUGUUUUUUUCUUUCUUUUUCUUUCUUUUGAUUUCUUUUGAUUUUGCACCCUCUCUUUCUUUGUUUUUUUUUUUUUAUUGAUUUUUUUUUCUCUCUUUUUUUUUU